GCGCGAGUGGUGAAAUUGGCAGACACGCAGGAUUUAGGUUCCUGUGCCUUACGGCGUGAGGGUUCAAGUCCCUCCUUGCGCACCA
Molecule: transfer RNA, 85 nt
Filed under: Rothia amarae
Lineage: Bacteria; Bacillati; Actinomycetota; Actinomycetes; Micrococcales; Micrococcaceae
Also listed under: 1 other name
Description: tRNA-Leu
Rfam family: tRNA
About the family: Transfer RNA (tRNA) molecules are approximately 80 nucleotides in length. Their secondary structure includes four short double-helical elements and three loops (D, anti-codon, and T loops).
Source: RNAcentral